CAGCAGCCGCGGUAAUACGGAGGGGGCAAGCGUUAUCCGGAAUUAUUGGGCGUAAAGGGUACGUAGGUGGCCUUUUAAGCGUAAGGUAUAAGGCAAUGGCUCAACCAUUGUUCGCCCUAUGAACUGGAAGGCUUGAGUGCAGGAGAGGAAAGCGGAAUUCCUAGUCUAGCGGUGGAAUGCAUAGAUAUUAGGAGGAACAUCAGCGGCGAAGGCGGCUUUCUGGACUGCAACUGACACUGAGGUACGAAAGCGUGGGGAGCAAACAGGAUUAGAUACCCCGUAGUCCCUGUCUCUUAUACAC
Molecule: ribosomal RNA, 301 nt
Filed under: uncultured bacterium
Lineage: Bacteria
Description: partial 16S ribosomal RNA
Rfam family: Bacterial small subunit ribosomal RNA
Source: RNAcentral